UACGAAGGGGGCUAGCGUUGUUCGGAUUUACUGGGCGUAAAGCGCACGUAGGCGGAUCUUUAAGUCAGAGGUGAAAUCCCAAGGCUCAACCUUGGAACUGCCUUUGAUACUGGGGAUCUUGAGUCCGGGAGAGGUGAGUGGAACUGCGAGUGUAGAGGUGAAAUUCGUAGAUAUUCGCAAGAACACCAGUGGCGGAGGCGGCUCACUGGCCCGGUACUGACGCUGAGGUGCGAAAGCGUGGGGAGCAAACGGG
RNAcentral lists this ribosomal RNA (253 nucleotides) under uncultured bacterium. Its description in RNAcentral is "partial 16S ribosomal RNA". It matches the Rfam family "Bacterial small subunit ribosomal RNA", at positions 524 to 776 of the family's 1533-position model. The record is from RNAcentral.